GCCUGCGCCUUCUCCGCGGGGCGUCUGCCCGGAGUCGGGAUCUUCGUUCUUUAGAGCACCUGAGGCAAAGAACCGGGACCCGGCCUAUCGUUGGAUAAAGGGCUGGGAGUGAGAACCAUUGGAAAUGAGGCACGUAGAGCUUCAAGUGACAGGUGGCAAUCUUAAAUCUACUGGUAGAAACAUUUCUUUUUUUUUGGAACUCCUAAGCCAGCAGAGUAUGCAGUCACAGAUACAGGAAGCAAAAAUGUUGCUGAUGGUUCACUAAGGACAAUACUAAUGAGAACCACUUCCAUUUCUAUCCCUUGAUUCCUGGACCCAUGGAUCCUGGCUAUGAGAAAAGUAGCACUAUAUAUUGGAUACUGAUUCAGAGAAUAUACAGCCUCCUAGGGCACCUUGCCCCAACCUUGCAAGAUAUUACCACCUAGCUGAUGCUAUAACUGAGUUUUCAAAUGGCCAUUCAACCAUUUAUGAAGCCAGUUACUUCAGGAUGUUGGCGAACAUUAUAAGACCAGUAGAUCCCAUGAUUAUUGGCUAUGAAGUAAAUUCCUUCAUCAGAAGCAAUGCUGUGUGGAAUACCUUUACAUUAGAUAAAACUUUCUUUAAGUUGCUGGAUAGUAUUUUGGCAGAAGCAUUGUGUGCAGGGAAGGCAGAUCUAUGCUGAGAGUGUCUAUUCCAAUAAAACACUAUGGAAGCAGUAUGGUGCAAUCAGUCUACCACUGGGUAGCUGGCUAAUUGCUCCAGGGAAUGGUGGCAUAUCAAUGUUGGUCUCUGAUGCUGGCAAAUUGGGCACUUUGCCAAUUGCAAAUUGGGUAAACAGUAAUCCAUGUUGCUGAGCCCAGGCAUAAUCUCAUCCUUUAUACCAUGACUGCUUUACUUAUGAAGCAAUGGGUAAUGACGGGUGACUAAGAAAAGAGACUGACUGCUAUCCACAAAAUAAGUUUUCUUAUUUACUUGAUUAUUAAUAUAUUCCUCUGCUGAGGUCAUCCUUUGGUGAGCAUCCAUGGCGGACACAAAUAUUUUCACAUUUUUUGCCUAUUUACAAAGAUCAAUCCCUAGACCUUUUCCCCAAAUUUCCUUGUCAUUAAAUUUUUAAUUAUGUACAUUCCAAAUCCCUGACUAUUCAGCUAAACCACUGACCACAGCUCAUAGAUUGGUAUGCAGUCUCACAUCAGGCCAGUUCUCCAUCCAAAGUCAACAACCAAAUGCACUGCUUAAAGUUCCACCCUCAAAGAGGAUUUCCCUUCACCACUGAGUCAUCCUGCAAGCUUCCUGUGCUGAAAUUUUAUCCCUAUUUAAUCUGACAAUGGUGUUUAAAAGUGGGACUUUAUCGAGGUGAUUAGGAUUAGAUAAGGUCAUCAAGGAUGGAGGUCCUAUGAUUGAAUACUUGGGACUUUUAAGAGAGAGAGACCAGCCAAAGGAGAUACACAUUCCUUUUUUUGUCAUGUGAUUUCCUGAACCAUCUUGAGACUCUGCCAGCAAAGAAGGUCAUAAUCACUAGAACCUUCUCUUGACCAUUGGCCUCCAUAACCAUGUGCCAACAUAAACCUCUUUUGUUUAAGUAGUUUGUCUCAGCUAUUUCAUUAUAGUAAUGCAAAACAGACUAAAUUGUCCUUUGAGAAUGUUGCAGUAAGGGCUGUGGCAUUGCAGCUAUUCACUUUUGAGUCAUGCCUGAAUAUAGUACUUUUAUCUAUAAAUCAGACCUGAGUUUGCUCUUCCUGUCAACUGGUUGUUGGCCUCCACAAGGCCAUAGGUUUAGGCUGGCAGAGAGAAGGGAGUGUAGCAGGAGUUGGUACAAUGAGUGUUUGAGUCCCUUCUUUAUAUAUCUAACUUGUAUCUUCAGAGCUCAAGGCUGAUAACAUAUAUAUCACUCCCAUUUGAUGAUGUGCACAUACAGCUGUGGAGCUUUCUCCUGGUAUAGGUCCCCCUCAGAACUAUCAGUUUUUCAGGGCACUUGGUAAAUGGCCUGGAGUAACAUACCCAAAUGAAGAAUAUUCUGCCACUCAGAUCCAAAGAAGCCCUCUAGGUCUUGGACCUUGUUUUUGGUUAUAAGCCCUUCUGGUGUAACAAUUUAUCCUUUACUUUAGAAGGGAUACCUGGUUGUGCUCUAUACUAAGAGACUCCUAGAAAUUUCACUAAUGCACUAAUGUGGAAGGUCCCUGAAUUUUUGUCACAUUUAUUUCACGAACUCUGACAUGUAAAUUUCUUAUCAAUAAGUCUAGGAUAAUUGCUCUAUUUCUUGUUCACUAAUGACAUAAUGUCAUUAACGUAAUGUAGGAUAUCUUGUGGAAGAGAAAGGCCUUCAAGGUCCUUGUGAACUAAAUUAUGACAUAGGGCUGUAUAUUUAAUGUACCACUAAGGUAGGAGAGUGAAGGUAUAUUGCUGGCCUUGCUGAGUGAAAGAAAACUGCUUUGGUAGUCUUUUUUCUUUUAAGUGUGAAGAUAAAAAGCACUUAACAGUUCAAUAGCUACAUACCAACUACCAGAGGCUGUGUUAAUUUUCUCAAGCAACAAAACUAAUCUGGCACAGCAGCUGCAACUGGAAUUGCUACUUGAUUAAGGUUAUGAUAAUCCACAGUCAUUCUCUGAGAUCUGUUAUCUUCUUCGUGGGCUGCAUAGGUGAGCUGAAUGAGGAUGUAGUGGAAAUCACCACCCUUGCACUUGUUGAGUCCUUAAUGGUGGCACUAAUCAAUGCUAUCCCUCUAGGAAUUGCUUUUGGUUUACUAUUUUCAUAGGAAGAGGCAGUUCAAAUGGCUUCCACUUAGGGACUGGGGUUGUGACUCAGAAUUAGAGUGCUCACCUAGCAUGUGUAAGGCACUGGGUUCAAUUCUCAGCACCACAUAAAGUAAAAAAUAGAGACAUAGUGUCUACCUAUAACUAAAAAAUAAAUAUUUUUUAAAAAUGGCUUCCACUUAAUCUUUCCCACUUUCGUAUUCUUCACUCCACGGAUCAGGGAACAACAUGGAGAUUUUGCCAACCAAUGAGUUUAUCUAUUCUGGUUAUGUAUUCUAGAGUUGGAAAAAUAACCACAGGGGUGAUGGGGACCCACUGUGCCCACUCUAAGAUGGACUAGGACUAUAAUAUUAUCUUUGGGCUGCAUUUUAACUCAUUUUAUGCCAAUAUCCCUUACACUGGGUCAUUUAUAAUAAACAGAAAUUUAUUUGGCUCACAAUUGGAGGAUGGGAAGACCAAACUUGAGGGACUACAUCUGAUGAGGGCCUUCUUGCUGUGCAUUAUCGUAAGAGAAGUUGUCACAUGAGUGAGAGGGAGAAAGUAAGGGUACUGAAUUCGUGCUUAAUGAAGAUAGCCCUCAUGAUCUAAUAACUUCUUAAAAAUCCCAUCUUUCAACACUUGCAUUGGGGAUUAAAUUUCCAAUACAUGAAUGUUGGAGUACACAUACAAAAUAUCUUAGACUGAAUAGCUUAUAAACAACAGAAAAUUAUGGAGACUGAGAAGUCAGAGAUCAGGAUGCCAGCAUGGUCAGGUCUGGUGAGGACCUGCUUUCCUUAUUGCAGACUGCUGACUUCUCUCUCUUCUCACAUGGCAGAAGGGUCAAUUGAGUUCUUUUACAAGGGCACUAAUCCUAUUAAUGAGGAUUCUGCCAUUAUAACUCAAUUUCCUCCCCAGAGUCCCAUUUCUUACUACUGUCUCUUUAUGGCUUAGAAUUUCAACAUAUGAACUUUUAAGAGUCACAGACAUUCAGUCCAUAGCAAACUCCAUUGGUCACCUGACUUCCAUUAGCUCCUUUCCUGCCUGGUGACAUUUUGGUCUCCUGGAAUUAGUUUCAGUUCAGAGCCCAUGUCCAGUGAUGCCCAAAGGUCUCUAUUUUUCCCCCCUAAUGUAUAAAACUCAGUAGAAAAAGGCCAUACCAUUCUUUUGGGAAGGCUAAAGAAAAGUUAACACUAUAAGUUGUUGGCAGUUUAUUGGGAUCUUAUCUAAAAGGGAUCCAGCCUUCCUGAGUUCUGAGUCUAUAAACUGGCUCAAGUGUGGGAAUUGAUUAAGGAUUCUCAAUUUUUAUGAUUGAAGUUAGACUUUUGUCCAUGUGACCUGGAACCUUUUGCUGACACAAGUCAGUAAGAAUCUAGUUGGUCUCUAUUAUAUCACUUUUACUACUCUAUAUAUUUCAACACCAUGGUCGACCAGCCAAUGCCAUAUAUCUGCAAGAGUCAAACUAUUCUAAUUAUUGUUUCAAACUUUCUGUUUAUUAUGGUAGCCAUGCUCACCAUGUCUUUGUCAGUUGAGUGCUGCUAUUUGGUCCUUGCCCCUCUGAGAUCUAAUUGCUCCCAUUGUCCUUGUAAAUUGAAGGGUAUGUAAGUCUUAUGGGAUUGAACCUUUAACCUGUGGAAUAUAUGCUAACUCCAGAUAGUUCAUGUCAGAAUUUCCCAAUUUGGUGACUGUUGUUCCUACUAUAAAGUCUGGCAUACAGAAAGGAAUAAUCAUAGAGUCAUUAUGGUGAAAGGUGUGUCCUUUAGAUCAUUCAGAGUAGGUGAGUAGGUAUUACAUGACAAAUUUGCUCUAAUAUCCUGAUCUCCUCAAGCCUUGGAAUCCCCUUCUCUACAUUAAAUGGACACAGAUCUGGCUUUUCUAACUCACCCAUUGUGGGCAAACUUUUGAUCCAUGCUUCAGCUAACCAGCCAGUAGAGCUCUUUGUACCUCUGUCAGCUUAAAUGUAACUUCUCUGCUUUGUGGGCCUAUAUCAAUAAAUUCAGCCUAAUCCAA
Molecule: long non-coding RNA, 4715 nt
Organism: Ictidomys tridecemlineatus (thirteen-lined ground squirrel)
Lineage: Eukaryota; Metazoa; Chordata; Mammalia; Rodentia; Sciuridae
Source: RefSeq, a predicted model, not a curated record